CCCUCCCGUAGAAGGGGGGCCUGCGGAAGGAUCAUUAAUGAAUAAACUUGGUCGAGUUGUUGCUGGUCCUCCGGGGCAUGUGCACGCUUGCCACUUUUAUAACCACCUGUGCACCUUUUGUAGACUGGAAACGUUCUCGAGGCAACUCGGAUUGAGGACUGCUGUGCGCAAGCCAGCUGUUCUUGUGUUUCUCAGUCUAUGUUUUUCAUAUACUCCAAAUGUAUGUAUCUGAAUGUAUUGCUAGGCCUUAGUGCCUUUAAAACAAAUACAACUUUCAACAACGGAUCUCUUGGCUCUCGCAUCGAUGAAGAACGCAGCGAAAUGCGAUAAGUAAUGUGAAUUGCAGAAUUCAGUGAAUCAUCGAAUCUUUGAACGCACCUUGCGCUCCUUGGUAUUCCGAGGAGCAUGCCUGUUUGAGUGUCAUUAAAUUCUCAACUAUACAAGUUUUUAUGACUUGCAUAGCUUGGAUCUUGGGAUUUGCGGGCUUUCACGAGUCGGCUAUCCUUAAAUGUAUUAGCAGAGCUUUUGCCGCUAAUCAUUGGUGUGAUAAUUAUCUACGCCAUUGAGAGGUGACAUACUGAGGCUUAGCUUCUAAUCGUCUUCACAGACAACUUUUGACAAUCUGACCUCAAAUCAGGUACGAUGCCCAGC
RNAcentral lists this ribosomal RNA (651 nucleotides) under uncultured fungus. Its description in RNAcentral is "eukaryotic LSU rRNA". The stretch from base 270 to 423 matches the Rfam family "5.8S ribosomal RNA". The record is from RNAcentral. Lineage: Eukaryota; Fungi.